GACGAACGCUGGCGGCGUGCUUAACACAUGCAAGUCGAACGGAAAGGCCCAGCUUGCUGGGUACUCGAGUGGCGAACGGGUGAGUAACACGUGGGUGAUCUGCCCUGCACUCUGGGAUAAGCCUGGGAAACUGGGUCUAAUACCGGAUAUGACCAACUGUCGCAUGGUGGUUGGUGGAAAGCUUUUGCGGUGUGGGAUGGGCCCGCGGCCUAUCAGCUUGUUGGUGGGGUAAUGGCCUACCAAGGCGACGACGGGUAGCCGACCUGAGAGGGUGAUCGGCGACACUGGGACUGAGACACGGCCCAGACUCCUACGGGAGGCAGCAGUGGGGAAUAGUGUACAGUGGGCGCAAGCCUGAUGCAGAGACGCCGCGUGAGGGAUGACGGCCAUCGGGUGGGAAACCGCUGUCACCAGGGACGAAGCGUGAGUGACGGUACCUGGAGAAGAAGCACCGGCCAACUACGUG
RNAcentral lists this ribosomal RNA (466 nucleotides) under uncultured bacterium. RNAcentral describes it as "partial 16S ribosomal RNA". It matches the Rfam family "Bacterial small subunit ribosomal RNA", at positions 28 to 507 of the family's 1533-position model. The record is from RNAcentral.